UCUAGAAUAAAAGAAAAAUAAUAAAUGGCUCUUAUGGUGUGCCUUGGAAGAAAGGUUUCUCUGUAGAGGAAAGGAAUAACAAAUUAUUCCGAUAAUUUUUCCUAUAGAAAAUCUAGUAACAAGAAGAUUUAAUCGGAAAUAUCGACAAAUUCUUGUGGAGUCCAAAACAAAAAAAUGAAAUAAAAAAAUCAACUGCUCCAAUUUCAU
This 207-nucleotide long non-coding RNA is filed under the name Solanum melongena (eggplant). RNAcentral's name for it is "long non-coding RNA (SMEL_LNC000096)". The record is from RNAcentral. Lineage: Eukaryota; Viridiplantae; Streptophyta; Magnoliopsida; Solanales; Solanaceae.